Molecule: ribosomal RNA, 465 nt
Filed under: uncultured bacterium
Lineage: Bacteria
Description: bacterial SSU rRNA
Rfam family: Bacterial small subunit ribosomal RNA
Source: RNAcentral
CCAGACUCCUACGGGAGGCAGCAGUGAGGAAUAUUGGUCAAUGGGCGGGAGCCUGAACCAGCCAAGUCGCGUGAGGGAAGACGGUCCUACGGAUUGUAAACCUCUUUUGCCGGGGAGCAACGGGGUCCUUGCGAGGGCCCGAUGAGAGUACCCGGAGAAAAAGCAUCGGCUAACUCCGUGCCAGCAGCCGCGGUAAUACGGAGGAUGCGAGCGUUAUCCGGAUUUACUGGGUGUAAAGGGCGUGUAGGCGGGCCUGUAAGUCAGAAGUGAAAUCUGGGGGCUUAACCCCCAAACUGCUUUUGAAACUGCGGGUCUUGAGUGAUGGAGAGGCAGGCGGAAUUCCCAGUGUAGCGGUGAAAUGCGUAGAUAUUGGGAGGAACACCAGUGGCGAAGGCGGCCUGCUGGACAUUAACUGACGCUGAGGCGCGAAAGCGUGGGGAGCAAACAGGAUUAGAUACCCCGGUA